UCUAGUAGCCGUUGAUUUUUAG
This 22-nucleotide non-coding RNA is filed under the name Arabidopsis thaliana (thale cress). Lineage: Eukaryota; Viridiplantae; Streptophyta; Magnoliopsida; Brassicales; Brassicaceae. The record is from RNAcentral.